This 886-nucleotide ribosomal RNA is filed under the name uncultured bacterium. Its description in RNAcentral is "partial 16S ribosomal RNA". The record is from RNAcentral.
CGGCCGUACUCCCCAGGCGGUCGACUUAUCGCGUUAGCUGCGCCACUAAGAUCUCAAGGAUCCCAACGGCUAGUCGACAUCGUUUACGGCGUGGACUACCAGGGUAUCUAAUCCUGUUUGCUCCCCACGCUUUCGCACCUCAGUGUCAGUAUCAGUCCAGGUGGUCGCCUUCGCCACUGGUGUUCCUUCCUAUAUCUACGCAUUUCACCGCUACACAGGAAAUUCCACCACCCUCUACCGUACUCUAGCUCAGUAGUUUUGGAUGCAGUUCCCAGGUUGAGCCCGGGGAUUUCACAUCCAACUUGCUGAACCACCUACGCGCGCUUUACGCCCAGUAAUUCCGAUUAACGCUUGCACCCUUCGUAUUACCGCGGCUGCUGGCACGAAGUUAGCCGGUGCUUAUUCUGUUGGUAACGUCAAAACAGCAAGGUAUUAACUUACUGCCCUUCCUCCCAACUUAAAGUGCUUUACAAUCCGAAGACCUUCUUCACACACGCGGCAUGGCUGGAUCAGGCUUUCGCCCAUUGUCCAAUAUUCCCCACUGCUGCCUCCCGUAGGAGUCUGGACCGUGUCUCAGUUCCAGUGUGACUGAUCAUCCUCUCAGACCAGUUACGGAUCGUCGCCUUGGUAGGCCUUUACCCCACCAACUAGCUAAUCCGACCUAGGCUCAUCUGAUAGCGUGAGGUCCGAAGAUCCCCCACUUUCUCCCUCAGGACGUAUGCGGUAUUAGCGCCCGUUUCCGGACGUUAUCCCCCACUACCAGGCAGAUUCCUAGGCAUUACUCACCCGUCCGCCGCUGAAUCCAGGAGCAAGCUCCCUUCAUCCGCUCGACUUGCAUGUGUUAGGCCUGCCGCCAGCGUUCAAUCUGAGCCAGGAUCAAACCCUC